This 449-nucleotide ribosomal RNA is filed under the name uncultured bacterium. Its description in RNAcentral is "partial 16S ribosomal RNA". It matches the Rfam family "Bacterial small subunit ribosomal RNA", at positions 29 to 523 of the family's 1533-position model. The record is from RNAcentral.
AACGAACGCUGGCGGCAGGCUUAACACAUGCAAGUCGAACGCAUCCUUCGGGGUGAGUGGCAGACGGGUGAGUAACGCGUGGGAACGUGCCCUUCAGUUCGGGAUAACCCAGGGAAACUUGGGCUAAUACCGGAUACGUGCGAGAGCAGAAAGAUUUAUCGCUGAAGGAUCGGCCCGCGUAUGAUUAGCUAGUUGGGGGGGAAAUGGCCCACCAAGGCGACGAUCAGUAGCUGGUCUGAGAGGAUGAUCAGCCACAUUGGGACUGAGACACGGCCCAAACUCCUACGGGAGGCAGCAGUGGGGAAUAUUGGACAAUGGGCGCAGGCCUGAUCCAGCCAUGCCGCGUGAGUGAUGAAGGCCUUAGGGUUGUAAAGCUCUUUCGUCCGGGACGAUAAUGACGGUACCGGAAGAAGAAGCCCCGGCUAACUUCGUGCCAGCCGCCGCAGUAA